CGGUGGCAUUGGACGGCCCUCGGCGGACGGCACGACACUCCUCCGCCGCCCGGUUUCCACAAAUCCCUUCAUUCAACUGGAAUGUUUUCUUUUAUUCUAUCUAGACGGUAAGGUUUAGGAUCCAGCUUCACCAUACUAGCGUAAAGUAGUGCAAUUUUCUCAGUCAUGCUGAGUGGAGUCUGAGGCACUUCGGGGCCAACGCAAGAUGAUGCCAGGACCAGACCAGCCACAAUCAACAAUCUAAAGCCCAAAUCUGAGUUGUGUUGUGUUAACCUGGAGAUGGAGUGCACCAUCAGUUGUAUAUUCCUACAAUUCUCCCUCAAAGCGAUAAUCGCCCCGAUUCAACAGGUGGCAACUCCCUUCCUUUGCCGGACAUUAUGCCAAACUAGGCUUCCAAACCAAGUGUGUCCAUUCGGCGCCACAAGUGCACCACGAAUUUGCCUACUG
Long non-coding RNA from Cyprinus carpio (common carp), 447 nucleotides. RefSeq lists it as uncharacterized. The transcript has 4 exons. NCBI's taxonomy places the organism in Eukaryota, Metazoa, Chordata, Actinopteri, Cypriniformes, Cyprinidae. The record is from RefSeq and is a predicted model, not a curated record.